This 446-nucleotide ribosomal RNA is filed under the name uncultured Spirochaeta sp. Its description in RNAcentral is "bacterial SSU rRNA". It matches the Rfam family "Bacterial small subunit ribosomal RNA", at positions 355 to 794 of the family's 1533-position model. The record is from RNAcentral. Lineage: Bacteria; Pseudomonadati; Spirochaetota; Spirochaetia; Spirochaetales; Spirochaetaceae.
CUAAGAAUCUUCCGCAAUGGACGAAAGUCUGACGGAGCGACGCCGCGUGAACGAUGAAGGCCGAAAGGUUGUAAAGUUCUUUUUGAACGGAGGAAUAAGUGUGGUAGGGAAUGACCGCAUGAUGACGUUAAGUUUGGAAUAAGCCCCGGCUAACUACGUGCCAGCAGCCGCGGUAAUACGUAGGGGGCGAGCGUUGUUCGGAAUUAUUGGGCGUAAAGGGUGUGCAGGCGGGUAAGCAAGUCUGAUGUUAAAUGGUUGUGCUUAACACAAUCAUGCGUUGGAAACUGUUUAUCUUGAAUACAAGAGGGGUAGAUAGAAUUCCUGGUGUAGGGGUGAAAUCUGUAGAUAUCAGGAAGAAUACCGAUAGCGAAGGCAGUCUACUGGCAAUGUAUUGACGCUGAGGCACGAAGGUGCGGGGAGCAAACAGGUUUAGAUACCCUGGUAGU